GAGUUUGAUCCUGGCUCAGAUUGAACGCUGGCGGCAUGCCUUACACAUGCAAGUCGAACGGCAGCACGGGAGCUUGCUCCUGGUGGCGAGUGGCGAACGGGUGAGUAAUGCAUCGGAACGUAUCCUGGAGUGGGGGAUAACGUAGCGAAAGUUACGCUAAUACCGCAUAUUCUGUGAGCAGGAAAGCGGGGGACCUUCGGGCCUCGCGCUCUUGGAGCGGCCGAUGUCGGAUUAGCUAGUUGGUGAGGUAAAGGCUCACCAAGGCGACGAUCCGUAGCAGGUCUGAGAGGGUGAUCUGCCACACUGGAGCUGAGACACGGUCCAGACUCCUACGGGAGGCAGCAGUGGGAAUUUUGGACAAUGGGGGCAACCCUGAUCCAGCCAUGCCGCGUGAGUGAAGAAGGCCU
RNAcentral lists this ribosomal RNA (407 nucleotides) under bacterium enrichment culture clone ALO1_GLFRUDD03GS0QU. RNAcentral's name for it is "bacterial SSU rRNA". It matches the Rfam family "Bacterial small subunit ribosomal RNA", at positions 9 to 417 of the family's 1533-position model. The record is from RNAcentral.